Non-coding RNA from Penaeus vannamei (Pacific white shrimp), 8801 nucleotides. NCBI's taxonomy places the organism in Eukaryota, Metazoa, Arthropoda, Malacostraca, Decapoda, Penaeidae. The record is from RefSeq and is a predicted model, not a curated record.
UAGAAAAGCUGUCGCGCGAAGAGCUGGUCAGCAAAUGCAGGAAUUUGUUGUCUCUUGCACAAAAGGCCAAGGCAGCAAAAGAUGAAGUAACAGCCGAAUUGAAAAGAGUCAAAGCGGCCUCAAAGAGUGUGGAAGCUGAGGAGGAGCUAAGAAAGAAGGCGGAAUCAGAGGCAGAAGCACUACGAGAGAUGGUGACGGAUCUCACAGAAGGGAAAGUAGCACAGACAACUAAGAUUGAGAGUCUCCAGAGACAGCUACGGGCUGCCUCAAGUGAAGUAGACUCACUCCAUGAACUGAAAGCUGCUUUGCUAGGGGAGAGAGACAAGCAGGAAGCAGAGACCUCAAAACUUCUAACAGAAUAUCAGAAAACAAGAGAAGAGUUAGAACAGAUAAAGGUUUCAAGCACAAAGAAAAUUGAGCUGCUACAGAAGACUUGGGAAAAGGAAAAACACAUUUUACAGGAGAAAGUGGAGAACCUUGAAGCUCAGAAUAGUCAAGUGGAUAUUUUGAAGACCAAAUGUAAGAAGCUUGUUCAAGAGAAAGCAGGGCUGGAGGAAGAGCUCAAGAAACAGCAAGUCCUUGUGGCAAAAGGUGUAAAAAUGCAAGGAGAAGUUUUAGCCCUUAAAGAAGAGAAGAAGGCUGCUGAUAUCAUACUUGAGACCACACAGAAGCAGAAGAAGGCCCUUGAGGACAAGCUAAAAUCCUUCGAAAGCCAAGUCACAGACCUAAAGAAGGCAAAGGAGAAGGACGAGAAAAAUUCCAAAAUGGAACUUGGCAAAGUACAGGAGUUGGAGAAAAGGUUGGGAGAAAAGGAUUUGGCUUUAUCAGAAGCUGAAACCAAGCUGAAGGAUUUAACUAAUAAACUUGAAGAUAUGGAGCGUGCUAAGCAUCUGCUGGAGGAAACUGCAAGAGAAGCGAAGGAGAAAUCUGAGAAGAAUGAAGCUGAUGGAACAAAGUUGAAAGAUGAUCUUAAUGAAGCUUUAGAGAAGAACAAGCACCUUGCAAGUGAAUUUGAUGAUUUUAAGGCAAAACACAGUGAGCAAAUAGAAGUGUAUACGAAAGAGAUUGAAUACCUGAAGUCAACGAUGGAGAAAAAGAUGGAAGAGAGCAGAGUACAUUCAGAAUUAGAGUUACAAAAGAUUAGUGAAGAAAAGGGAGAGCAGUUCAAACAAAUUGAGGAGGAGCAUCAGUCCUUGAAAUUAAAAGAGAAGAAUUUGACUGAAGAAAAUUCCCAAUUGAAGGAUAAUGUAGAGCAGUUAAAAGCUGGCAGUCAAAAACUGGAAGAACAGAUUUCAGAGUUAGAAAGACAGCUAAAAGAAAAAGAUGUGUUCAGUGCAGAUCUCCAGCAGAAAUUUCAAGCCAAAGAAUCUGAAAAUGUCAGUCUUGCUGAAAACAAGAAUAAAGUGGAAAAAUUAAUGGUUCAGGUAAAUGAAUUUACAGUGGAAAUCGAGAAACUUAAUGAAGAAAAUAAGACUUUGCUUGACAAGUGUAACAGUCUAGAAACUGAGACAUCUCAUUUGAAGGAAAAGUUGGCAGAAGCACAGGUGGAAAAGCAAAAUCUUGAAACUGAACAUUCCAAGGCUGCUGGAGAAAAGGGAAGAUUUCAGGAAAUUGCUGAUGAGUGCAAAGAAAAAGUAGAUAAGUUAAAUGAAGACAUAGAGAACCUAAAAUCUGAGAACAGCAAACUGAUUGCAAAUUCAUCAGACAUAAAUGAUACACUGAAAGAUGUCCAGGAAACUGUGUCUUCAGUAGCAUUAGCUUUUAAGGAAGUUUAUCCCAUUAUGAGUGAGUCCUUCAUUUCUUCAACUACUGACAAUCUCUUAGCAAGACUGAAAGGUAUUCAAGAGCUUUUAGGUGAAAUUGGCAAGAAGCGGGAGAGCUUCAGUUCAGAAGAGUGGGUAAAGACUGUCAUAAGUUCACUUGAACAUUUCCAGAACAGCUUUCAGGUUAUUGUUCAGUCUAAGACCAAGGUACAUAAAGAGUCCUGUGAUGAUUGUUUUGGUAGUUUAAGCAAAAGUUUUAUAGAUGUUUACAAAAUUACAUUGUCUCUCUUGGAUCUCCCGGAAAACUCGAUCUUUGAAGAGAAGUGCCGACAAAUCACCUUAUCAUGUUCAGAGCUGUGUGAAGGUUUGAGUAAAGAUUUGGAAAUGGCAAAUCAGAUGAGUGAAGACAUGAAAAGGUUAACCCAAGAAAGAGAGGCAUUGAAUGAACAGAUACAUAAAGUAAGUGAAGAAGCUGACAGAAAAGUCAAAGAGGUGUCUGUCCAUCUUGACAACACAUUAAAAGAAAAGAACAGUGAUUUAGAGAACAAAAAGGAAAUGAUUGCUGAGCAUGAGAAAACUGUGAAGAAGCUAGAGAAAGCCAUAGAGGAUGAGAAAGCAUCAUUUGAAAAACUGUCAACAGAACACAAAGAGAAACUGUCUGUUUUAGAAGAAAAGUUAACCUUGAAGGAAAAAAGAAUUGGUGAAUUAGAGACACAUAUAACAUCAGGUGACAGCCAGAAAGAGGAGAUUGUCAGUAACUUAAGAAAGCAAUUAGAGAAUAUUACAGAAGAAAAGACAAACUUAGACAAGAAAUUGGAGGAAGUCACUGUACAGAAGGAGCAUAUGGAGAAGUCACACAGAGACCAGAGUGAAGAAAUGGCCAGCUUGCUGAAGAAAGAGGAGGAACUGUCCACUGAACGUAACCUCCUCCAGAAGGAAAAGGAGGCUGUGGCAAAUAACCUAGAAGAUUUGAAGAGGGAGUUUACCACUAAGGAAAAGAUCUAUCUAGAUGAGAAGCAUGAGUUGGAGAAGAAAAUCGUCCUGUUAUCUGAAGAAAAGAUCAGUUUAGAAAAGGAAUUUGCAGCCAUGAGUCAAAGCAGGAAAUCUAAUGAAGAAGACUUCAGCUCAAAGAGAAAAGAACUUGAGGAACAAAUCCACAAUAUUAUGGAGGAAAAUGCCAGCCUAAAGUUAGAACUUGAGGAUAGGAAAGGAGAAAAUGCAACUCUGCAGGAAAAUAUUCAAGAACUGGAGAAAAAGAUUGAGAAUCUUGGGUCUGAUGUGGGACAGUUGCAAGAAAGGGUCACAGAUAGAGAGAAGGAGCUAGAGACGCUAAGACAGGAGAAAGAGGCAUCAGACAAAGAAGUGAAGGAAGCUGAAAAUCAGAGGCUACAGCUCAACUCGUCACUUGAAACAUCAGCUAACAGAUGUGAGGAGCUUCUCACUGAGCUGAAUCAGAUGAACAAUGUUCUUCGUGAGCGUGGGGAGAGAAUAUCCAGGCUAGAAGCCGCAAACAAAGAGAAGACUGAGCAGCUUGAGGCAACUUCUAAACAGCUUCAAGAACUACAAAAUAAGAUGUCAAGUAGUGAAGCAGAGCUUGCCAGCAAGCAGGAACAGCUCCAGACAAUUACUGAAAAGCUUCAAUCAUUCAGUAAUGAUUCUCCCCCACCUGCAACAGCACCAGACAAUCAGCAGCUGGAAAAGCUUGAAGAGAGGAUCAAGGAACUUCAGCAAGAGAGGGAUGUUCUAAAAAAGACAAUCCAAGGUUUAGAGAGUGAACUGUCUUCAGCCCGUGAGUCAACCAACCAAGCUCAGGAUGCGCAGAGUGAGGCCAUGAGCACAAGCACAAUCAGUCGAGCAGAGGACACCCAACGCAUGAAGGAACUGGAAGACACUUUUGAGGAGAGGUAUAUGAAGCUAAAGAGUGUUGCGAUUAAGUUGAAGAAACGAGUAGCGGAACUCACAGCCCAGCUCAACUCAUCUGAAGAAUCACGCAGUAGAUUAGCUACGGAAAAGGAUGAUCUUAAGAAGAAGUUUGACAUGGGAGCCAAAGAUAGCAUGAAAACUGUAUCAAAGAAUAUACAGGCUCUUCAGGGUGAGAUUGACAGAUUGCAAGAUGAAGUUGACAGCAAAGUAAAAGAACUCAAGGACACUGGAAAACAGCUCGUGGCAGCAACUGAACAACUAGCAGCUGCAAAGUCUGAUUUGGCAAAGAUGCAAGAGGAAAAUGCGGUCAUAUAUCGCACAGUAAAGAGCCUAGAGGAAACAAUUGCCACACAGGAAAGUGUUACCUUAAGCUUGCGGGGGCAAGUCACUAGCCUGGAGGAGCGGAUAGCAGCUGAGGUACAGCAGCAGCAGGCCCUUGAGGAACGCAGGAGGAAGGCGGAUGAGCAGAUUGAGGAGGAGAGACAGAAAAUUUCCCAGCUCACAAGGGAACUGGAGGAAGCAAAGCAGGAUAGUAAAACAAAGAGCCUGAUGGACCUGGAAAUGCGGGACUAUGAGCUGACGGUGAGCGAACUCCAAGGCCAGCUGGCAGAGAAGGACACCAAUAUUACUGAGCUGCAGGCAGAGAUUGAGAGGGAGAAGAGGCGAUCGGGGAGUCUACAGGAUCAGCUGGUUCACCUUUCCACCCAGGAAGCCACUGAGAGAGAAAGAGCAGAGAAGAUGAAGAAACUUCUCCUGGAUCACAAGACACAGUUAGCUGAGCUGCGACAAGUACAGGAGGUCCAGGCAGCCGUACAGGAGACAGACAGAGUCACAAUUGAACAGCUUACCCAGGAAGUUGAAAAGCAGAAAUUAGUGUUGUCAGAAAUUAGCAUUGAAAAGACAAGACUAGAGGAUGCUUUGAGGAAAUCUAAAGCUGUGGCUGAUCAUCAAAUUGAAGUCUUAGAGGAUCAACUUUCAAAGCAUAAACUUGAAGUCAGUCAGCUAACAUCAGAACUGAAAACAGUUAAGGAUGAAUUUGAAGGUUACAAAGUGAGGGUCCACAGUGUAUUGAGACAAAAAUCCAGAGCACCAGACAUUGAUGUGAAUGAGUUGAAGACAGAGAGGGACCAGCUCCAGAGUGAUUACGAUGCAGCCCAGUUAAGAAUACAACAGUUACAAUCUGAGAUCUCUGCGGUGAAGGCAGAACUCAGCUAUUUGCAGUCUGAGAAGGAUGGACUUUUACGUCAGGUGUCUUCCAUCUCUGAGGAAUUGACCAAAAGGGAGGCAUCCCAUCAAGAGAAAGUUGCCAAACUCGAGAGUAAAAUUGAGACUAAGACGGCAGAGUAUCAGCUGAUCAUUGCCAACAUGUCCAUUCAAAAUGAAACUAUGAGUAAUAGUUUUAAGAAGCAACUUGAGACUCUCCGUGAGACCCACACUCAUGAGGUAGAGGAUCUUACAAAGAAACUGGAAGAAACUGAGGACAAGCUUUGGCAGCUCAAGAACAAUGUUAAUACUGUGCCAGCUCCUUCUGCAAAUGCAAGCAACUCCCUUAGCCCUUAUGCAGGUGUCCCUCACACUAAUCGUCACGAAUUGGAGACAAACACCACUGCCGCUCACCAUAAUCAGCACAGACGUCAACACAGCCAUGGCUCAGAGGAGAAUAGAAUUGAUAUCACUAACAUGAUCAGGGAAGAAGGAGAGGGAUCUGAGUGGGUGGAGCCUGUACACCAUUCCCCGGCUAGACCCAUGGGAUACAGCCCGCCACCCUUGGAGCAGCUCAUAAACUCUCCCCUGCCCUCAGCCCCCAGUCAGCAACCCCCUCAAGAUGACACAGUCAGCGUCACCAGUGUUGCCACUGAUGCCACACUAAAGGAGAUUGAUAGGCUGGAGUCGAAGUUGAAAUCAGGAGAGAUGCGGAUUCAGCAGCUGACCUCACUCUUGCAUGAGUCAGAGGCAGAAAACGCCAAGCUGUGCCAACUCGCAGAUGCACUUAAGGAAGAAAUCCGAAGAUCAGCUCGUAAUGAGAGCCGAGAGAAGCACAUGGAAAAUAUGGAAUAUGCCAAGAAUGUGAUAUUGAAGUUUUUGAUGCUGAGGAACAAUGAGGAACGGAAACACCUUGUGCCUGUUCUCAAGACAGUUCUACAGUUGUCACCACAAGAAGUGUCACAACUUGAGCAAAUGGCAGUUGGAACAGAAGAAGGAGCCUCAAAUGGAGGAUGGAGUGAUUAUCUACAUCUGUGGUCAAGUAGAUAACAAGUGGCCACACCAUUUUGGAAACUGUUCAUUUUAGUCUCCCUUGCAACACAUGUUGGGAUUUAAAGGUUGACUUUCACGAAAGGGCCCUUAGAAGUGCAGUGCAGGAUUAGUAAGAAUGCCCAGUCGCAAAAGGAGCAGAUCUAAAGAGUUGCUAAUCACCUAAUUAUGCUUUUAGAAUACUGUGUAAAUUAGUACAUGUUUUGUGAUAAUAGGACUGAAAUGAUAAGUGAAAAGCAAGUGUUUUUUUUAUGAAAUUAUAUACUGUCGAAGGUGCAGCACCAUGUUUGUACAGCUUUAGUCUGUUUGUGCAGAUUUAGUCUGUUCACACAAAAGUAAUGGGAAGGGACAAUCAUUCCAUCAGAUAUUUUAUUGUUGAGAAAUAUGUGUCUUGUCCCUGUGCUGGGCAAGUGAACAUGUAUACAAAUUUUAAAGUUGGAAUUUGACGGACUUAUAAAGAUCUUAAGCUGAAGUACCCAUGCAAUUAAGCAGUUUAACAGGUGGUGGUAGGGAGCCUGCUAACUCUACUACUGAAGGCAGUAACAAUCUACCCUUUAGUACAUUGUUUUUUUUCCCACACUUUAUCAUAGUUCUUGUUUCCAUUGUCUGCUGUUUGAUUCUGUUUUAUAUGGAGCGUGUUGUAGCUUUCAUAACCGAAAAGAAAAAAAUCCAGUUGUAUGACAUAUUUGCAGUUACGCACUCUCCUUCACGUGAUGUAUGUCGCAGCUAUUCAGUUAACUUUUCUGGAUUGUUGAACCUAUCAGUAAAGUAAUGAGAUGACAUUUCAGUAAGGAAUAUAUCCAUUUGAUCCCUAGCAAACUGCAUAUAUAUGUAAAUAAUCUCUCAUAUCUUGCUGACUGGUAGAUUGUUAUGGAAAUGUUUCACAAAAAGCAAAUGUUGAUCAGAAUCUUGUAUGUAACUUAGAAAGUGUUCCAAUUCUUUGUGAGUGAAACUUAGGAUGCUUCACUUUCUAAUUAAGUUAUAAGAUUUGAAACUUACCUCAGAUUAUUUUUUCACUUUUCAAAUUGAAAUAUAAAAUCUGGUAGUAGAUACGCGAGACCUAAGAAGUCAGGGCCAGAUUAGUGAAGGGAUUAGAAUCACUGAUUAGUGAAGGUCAACCUGUAUUACUGGACUUAUUUAUUUGCAAAAGUUUUAAGAUGUAUUAUUACAAUUAUUUAACAGUUUUUAAUUAUUUAUUUUUAUUAUUAUUAUUUUGUCAUUUAAAGCUGAACUUGAUGUAAAACCAGAAAAUAAUUCCUCCCUGGAACACGGAUAUAAGGGCUGUCAAACUUAUUUACCCCAAGGGGCCACAUUUCACCUUAGUGUACAGUAUGAGGGCCAAAUAAUCAUGAAUAAAUCAAGUCCACAUCUUAGUUAGGUCGUAUUAAGGCCAUAUGGUUGAAGUAAAAAUAUUGAAAGCUAUUCCAUUCAUUAUCAAAACACAAUAAUAAAAAAAACUGUAAGAGUGUAAAUUAUAAUCUUAAAUAAUGAAGGACUGGCUUAAUUAUUCACAUGAAAUGGCCAGCUGUUAGAUUGAAAUAGAAAAUGUGCCACAGGCUGCACAUGGGAGUGUGGCAGGCCACAUGCAAUGUUUGACACCCUUGAUGUACAGGGUUUGUGUAUGAAGGUGGCUAUGUAUGCCAUUGUGAUAGUAGGCUUAUCUUUGAUUAGGAUAGAAGAUGAAAUAAUGUAAGCAAAAUAAGGGAAGAAGAGCAAGAAAAAAAUAUCCAAGGAAGUAAAAUAUGCCAUAAGUAUUAUGUCUGAUGUUUUGUUUUGAAAUACAGUAGGGUUUUAUGAAUUCUGAAUCCUCUGAAAAGCAUCAUUCUGAAUUUUCACAUGGAUUUAGCUGUCAGCAAAUUGAUCUGUGUUUCUUUACAGUUGUGUCUUUUCCCAGGUCUGUAUGAGAGAGAAAAUGAUAUAACUGAAAGGAUUAAUGAUGUUUUUGUGAUACAUAAAACCUCCCGGAUUUAUAUAAUGUAACAACCCACAAUAGGAAGUUUUUUGGUUGAUGAUAUAAUUGUGAAAUAAGAAAAUUGUUCUUUCCCUUUGUAUUACCUAUGUUAAUUUUUCCACUUUAUUCAAUAUUACUGUGUUCAUUAUUUCUUUUUUGCUGUAACAGCAUACCACAAACAUUACAAUAAACAAUACUUAUGUAUACUUCAGGUAUGGGUAGCACUGUAUUCACACACCUUUUUAAAAGGACCAGAUGCUGCCCAGUUUUUUUUCCUCCGAAUUUGAUUAAUUUUGGCAAUAAACCAAGUUCAGGAAGAGUAUAUUUAAGCAGUUACAGCUAUAUUCACAAAUAAUUUUGGCAACUUUCCAAAUAUUUGCACACAGAUGUUGCAAUUGUUUUUUCCUGUUUUGUAUAUCUUGAAGGUUUGCAGAAAACAUUUCUGUUGCAUCAGAACACUAUAGCACAAAUAUUUUAUGAGUAAAUCUAUUUCUCUGUGUAUCAACAAAAUUUGAUUUUAAUAUCUGCAGAAUAAGCAUGUGUCUGGAUGUGUGUGAUGUAUGUAUUGUUUUUAUAUGUAUAUAUAUACUUGUAUCUUUUUAAUAAUUAGGAUUGUCUGACAGGCAUUCAGACUAAAAGUGAAUCUACUAAAUGUCCUUUUGUGUACUUACAGCAUAGAAGUGCAUGUCCUGUAAUAAGAUUUAUUUGAGUUCUUUAUCGAAAUUGAUUGUUGAUUAAGCAAGUGAUUAUUGAGUGUAAUGUGCAAGUAAUAUCCAUUCGGAGAAAAAUAAGAUAUAUUUGAGUUGAUGUUUCUUCCCUCAAGCAGUUUAUCAUGAGGAGACCACCUUUCUUGUGUAUACUUUUUAUACGUUGGUGGUUCCAAAAGUUAAUAAAGAAGUUUGUAAUCUACC